UUAUCAGUCACAUGUUCAUUGUUGGUUUGCAACGGGUUCAUCGGGGAAUGGGUUUAUUAAGUUACAUGUCUAUCGGAUCUCAAACUGAGUGGGUCUCGGAUUGAUAUGAAUUGACAUCGUUUCACAAUAAAGUUUAAAAAAUAAUACGGUGAUUUGUUUAAAAUAAAAAUGCAGAAAAUAAAUAUAAGUAUAUGAAUAAAAGUAGAGAUGAAUAUCAUCAUAUUCACCUAAAUUUUUUAAAUGCAACCCACCAGUAAAUUUGUUCAGCUAAAUAUCAGUACAAGUUUCCGGCCAAUCGGCCGGGCACAGAGCUAGUAUGAAUAUAUAGACGUCGCUAGGCGAUAGGCGCAUAAUUCCCAAAUCCCAACCAAGCCAGCUAUUGAUUUUGAACGCCCGGUCCGUGCUAGCUAUGUAGCUACCGUCCAUGGCCACCGCGGGGUGAAUCAGGCCUACAAGCAAUCGACCAACACCGCCACGGCGGGGGUGUGCGCACAAAUAAAAAAAAAUUAAAAGCCCACGUACGUACGAGGUUAGUGACUAUAAUAUAUUUAAUCCUGAAUCAUAUAAUAUAUUCUUGCAAUUAAAAGAUGGAUAUAGCUAGCAUAACUGUAUAUAAAUUAAAGUUGACGUACGUACUCUGUUGGGCCAAAGGUGGAACUGUCGACAGCAAAAUGAUGAUGAUCAGCACAUACAACAGCAGUAGAAGAGCCGUCUUCUUUGUCUUUAUAUUCAUCUCCAUGGAUCGAUCAGAUCUCACUGUAUGCCUAUCUUGCUAAGUAAUCUCAAUAAAUAGAAGGCAAGAGGAUGUAUAUCAAGAUUCAGCAGUUAAUUAUUGCUACAGCUCAUAUUUGUAGACGACUAAUCUUCUCCUCCAACUUGGAAAGAAAAAAUCUGGCCGAAUACCAAAA
Molecule: long non-coding RNA, 908 nt
Filed under: Linum usitatissimum (flax)
Lineage: Eukaryota; Viridiplantae; Streptophyta; Magnoliopsida; Malpighiales; Linaceae
Description: long non-coding RNA (LUSI_LNC005098)
Source: RNAcentral